CCUACGGGUGACAGCAGUGGGGAAUAUUGGACAAUGGGGGGAACCCUGAUCCAGCGACGCCGCGUGAGUGAAGAAGUAUUUCGGUAUGUAAAGCUCUAUCAGCAGGGAAGAAAGAAAUGACGGUACCUGACUAAGAAGCCCCGGCUAACUACGUGCCAGCAGCCGCGGUAAUACGUAGGGGGCAAGCGUUAUCCGGAUUUACUGGGUGUAAAGGGAGCGUAGACGGCAGUGCAAGUCUGGAGUGAAAGGCGGGGGCUCAACCCCCGGACUGCUCUGGAAACUGUACGGCUGGAGUGCAGGAGAGGUAAGUGGAAUUCCUAGUGUAGCGGUGAAAUGCGUAGAUAUUAGGAGGAACACCAGUGGCGAAGGCGGCUUACUGGACUGUAACUGACGUUGAGGCUCGAAAGCGUGGGGAGCAAACAGGAUUAGAUACCCGAGUAGUC
Molecule: ribosomal RNA, 443 nt
Filed under: uncultured bacterium
Lineage: Bacteria
Description: partial 16S ribosomal RNA
Rfam family: Bacterial small subunit ribosomal RNA
Source: RNAcentral